GACGAACGCUGGCGGCGUGCUUAACACAUGCAAGUCGAACGGAAAGGCCCUGCUUUUGUGGGGUGCUCGAGUGGCGAACGGGUGAGUAACACGUGAGUAUGCUGCCCUUGACUUUGGGAUAACUUCAGGAAACUGGGGCUAAUACCGGAUAGGAGCUCCUGCUGCUUGGUGGGGGUUGGAAAGUUUCGGCGGUUGAGGAUGGACUCGCGGCUUAUCAGCUUGUUGGUGGGGUAGUGGCUUACCAAGGCUUUGACGGGUAGCCGGCCUGAGAGGGUGACCGGCCACAUUGGGACUGAGAUACGGCCCAGACUCCUACGGGAGGCAGCAGUGGGGAAUAUUGCACAAUGGGCGGAAGCCUGAUGCAGCAACGCCGCGUGCGGGAGGACGGCCUUCGGGUUGUAAACCGCGUUCGCCUGUGACGAAGCGUGAGUGACGGUAAUGGGUAAAGAAGCACCGGCUAACUACGU
RNAcentral lists this ribosomal RNA (467 nucleotides) under uncultured bacterium. RNAcentral's name for it is "partial 16S ribosomal RNA". It matches the Rfam family "Bacterial small subunit ribosomal RNA", at positions 28 to 506 of the family's 1533-position model. The record is from RNAcentral.